Molecule: long non-coding RNA, 7644 nt
Filed under: Lactuca sativa (garden lettuce)
Lineage: Eukaryota; Viridiplantae; Streptophyta; Magnoliopsida; Asterales; Asteraceae
Description: long non-coding RNA (LSAT_LNC004459)
Source: RNAcentral
UGUGACUCUAAGCUUUCUAAAGUCAAUACAAGGAGGAAUUGGAUUGUUAUUGCUACAUAACAAUCAAGGUAAUAUCUUAAACCUAAUUAUAUGUUAAUAUCGAUUUCCAUAUGUUAAAAUUAGGGUUUAUAGUCUUGGAUAACUUGCAUGUACAAUAGAGAAACCCAUCAUUAGGGUUUGUAUGAGCACAUAGGAUGUUCUUAUAGCCAAAACCCAUCAAUGGUAUCAGAGCCUAGACUGGUUUCUAUUGUAUUGAUGCAUUAUAUGUUUGAAAAAUUCAUUUUUUGGGUUUUUGGAGGCUGGACUCGCCGACUCCAUGCUGACUCGACGAGUCCAUGCUUGACUCGACAAGUCAACUCAUCAGAUGGAGCAAACUUCGGGAUUUCUAGCUGUUUUUGUUUAAGGAUAGUUGCCUUAUCAUAUUAGAUCAACAUAAAUCCGAUUUUAUGAUACAUUUGACUAUAUUCUUGAUCUAAUUGAAGAUAUUUAUCAAUUAAUAAGAUAAUUGUUUCCUUAUGUGAUAAUUGAUUAAUUAUUUUGAUUAAAUUGGUAAAUUGUUUUGCAAUAAAUCAUUAAAUAAAUCAAAUAUGGAUAAUUAUGUGAUUAAUUGUUAAUUUUAGAUUAUUUGUUAUUUGAUCCUUGUUGCUUUGAAAAGCUUCAUAUUUUCCCCUUUACGUUUUAUAGUUUAAAUUUGAACCCAAAAGUUUUGUUGUUUUGAAAUUUAAAUAGUUAAAACCCUAAUGUUUUGAAAAAGGUUUCAAAACUUGCCCUCAAGUUUUGGAAUUUAAAAUUUUGGAUUAAUAGUUUAAUUUGAUGUAUAUUUAAAUUCUAAACCCUAAUGUUUUGAAAUGUUUCAAAACUUGCCCUCAAGUUUUGGAAUUUAAAAGUUGAUUAAAAGUUUAAUUAGGAAUGUUAAAUUCUAAAACUCUAGUAUUGUUUUGAAAAAGUUCAAAUCACACCCUUAUGGUUUUAUUAAUUAAUUAAGGUGUAUAAUUAAAAGAAGUUUAAUAAAUCCAUAAAAGUUUAGGUUUACAAUUUAAUUGAAUUAAAAGUAUAAUUGUUAAAUUUGACCACCUAGUAUUUUAAAAGUGUAAAAUACACCCUAUACUAUAUAUAACAUUAAAAGUCUAACAUUAUAUAUAUGUAUGAGUAAAAGUCAGUCUUACCGUUAGUAGGCCUCAUUCACGAAGCUGGUCUAUAAGGGGUGUUUAAGGAAAUUGCCUAUAAAAUGGCGAUUGAAUGGGUAUCCACUCUUACCCACCGCACUCUUGACUAGUGGAGGGUCGUUAGCCGAACGGGUAGGAUAGGACAAAACCUUCCAUUAUAAGUAUAAUGAAGUACAAAAGUAACUAAAUGUUUUACAAAUUCCCAAUCUUAGUUACUUAGGCAAAAGUGAAUUGAUGCAAUUCCAUGAAAUUACACUUUGUGCCCUUGCGAAGACGUUAGUGGAGCGUGUGUGGUUUACCGGCACACUAAAUGGUUCUAAGCAAAGGUAGCAAAGGGUGACUCAAUGUUUGUCAUAGUUCGGUGGAGCGUGUGUGGUUUACCAGCACAUCGAAUAGGUGACUGUAACAUGUGAGGGCACCAUGUAAGUUUUCAUGGUUAUUCACACCCGCUUUGUGAUCAUCGGCAUCCCAGUCACAAACUAGAGGGGAAUAUCGAGAUUUAAACAUGCCAUUGAAAUGUUCAAUGAAUCUCAAAGGAUCUAGAAUAUUUCAUAGAUUUAAAAAACUUAAAUUUCUUUUUCGUGUUUCGUGGUGAAAAUUAGUGAAUCGUCAUUCACUUACCUUCAAAUAUUCUGCAAUUAGGGUUACGAUAUCCCUCCCCCGGGUUGUAGAAUAUUUUGUUGGGUCCUAGCCUUAGUAUAUCAUUUGGGUGAUUUACUAAGGACUCAAUCGAUCAACUAACUUGAAUUUGUUUUCUCCCGUUUCAUAGAUGUCAAAGUUCGACAACUAUGGUCUUCCCAAAUCCCGUGGAACAAGCUUUCCACAUGAAGAUGAUAUUCCACGAUUCGAUCGAGGAACAAGAAAUCAUACUUCACUUCCUCCUCCUCCUCCAAUUAUUCUCCCUAACCCACAAGUUCGAAGGCUUGAAAAGUUCAAGCUCACUCAAGCCCUUUUGGCAAGUAAACAUGAAGAAGGAAAGUCAGUGUGUGCACACGUCCUAAGGAUGAAGUCACACAUUGAUAGGUUAAGAAUGUUGGGAUCCGUUGUCUGUGAGGAGAUGGAUGUUGAUUGGGUUCUUCAGUCACUUCCUAACUCAUAUAGUGAGUUCGUAAGAGAGUACUAUAUGAUGAACUGCGACGUGACCUUUAUGGAUCUCACCUAUAUGCUUAUUGCUACUGAAUCAACAAUUGUUUGGCGCAAUAGAAAAGCAAAGUUGAUUGGUGAAUCUGCCUUCAAGACCUGUAUGGAUAUAGACAAUGGCAAUUAAAGACAUGCUAUGAUCGAAAAGUUUGAUCAUAAGAGAAAGGCAAUGUUUGAAGUAGUUCCAUGUUCUGUUCCAAAAGAGUCAAUUUGCUUUUAUUGCCAAGAGAAGGGGCAUUGGAGACGAAGCUGCCCUGUUUACCUAAGAGAUCUAAGAGAUGGGAGAGUCAAAAUGUAUGACUUUGCUUUAGGUAAAAUCCAUUGACUAACUCUUUUAAGCUUCUAUUCUAGAUUCUUAAUACAUAAUGUGAUAAGAUUACAAUUGAUGUUUUGUAGGAUCGAAGAAAAGAAAGGAAGCUUAAGGGAAGAAGUGAGCAGAAUCUAACCGUGAAGGAAUGGAUUUCGAUCGCAUUUCUCGAAGAUUAGAUUCUUGAGCUACUACUUAGAGUUAGAAUUAGAUUGCUAAGAAAGAUGUAUUAGCAUAGUUUUUCAAUGAAUUGCAUUGUAAGGACAAAUUUUUCCGCAAUAAAAUAAAUUUUGAUUUUAUAUUAUUUAUUUAUCCUUGCAAUGGCGUAUAUGAAAAAUUGAUGUUUGAAUGUUUCUAUUAUUAGCAAUAAUGGAUUUGGUUCUUAUUAUGUUAUUUAUGGAAAGUCGAGAGUUUACCAAAUAGGGAGAGUUUCUCAUCGCCCAAGUUUCAAUUGGACAGAAACUUGGAAUCAUGCAACUUGGUUGCAUGAUGAAUGAGAAAUUUCAUAUUUGGAAAUUAGACUAAUUCAUUGACAAAGUGUCAAGUGAAGGACUAGGAGAUCGAGUACACAAAGUUGCGUGUUGAUCAAGUCCACCAUAAGAGUAACAAAGAUAUUCGUCAUGAUUUACUAAAGGUUUAGUAAAUAUGAUUAUACUUAUAAGAUUAAGUGUAAUUCUGAAUUGAUUGAAAAAGUUUAAAUCAAUAGCAGAACGAAUAAGAAGAAUCAAGUAGGCAGAAAGAUAAAAGUUUCUCCAUUCUAAGAAGAAGGGAGAGUACCUUUUAUGCUUUAUGAUAGGUCUUAAUGAUUAAGAACCAUAUCUCAAUUGAUCCUCUAAGUGAGUCUUAGUACAAUUGUAUGUCUAAGAAGAGGAAUCAAGAAUUGAAGAAAUGGUUAAAUCAAGAAGUCAAUCAUACUUCGUUCCAAAACAAGUCUUAGAGUUAAGAUUGUGACAUUGAGUGAUAAGUAUUAAGAAGGUUUAUAACAUUCAUCAAAUGUGGAAAGUUGUGAUGUCUUGGAUAAGACAAAGACCAACUAGGACCAAUUUAUGAAGUGUUUUGAUAAAAACUACACUAACUCUUGAAUAUUUGUUUGUCAAGAAAUGUUUAUUGACAAGAGAAUCUUAUAUGUCAAGGAGUCAGUGGGAGUCUUAAUGGUCUUGAAAGGUUUCAAGAACAAAUCAAAUAAACCUUAUCGAUCAUCACUAGCACACGAGUUGAGGUUUACAACCUAUCGUGUUGACAUUAUUUUGUUUCUGUGCCAAUCCAAUCGAGUUAAUUAUGCAUGUGAGUUCUAUGAGUUCUCAUUUGAAUGCAUAAAAGGCAAGGACCUUGAUCAAUGGAAAGUACAUUGAUAAGAAAAGGUGAGCUGCUUAACUACUUGGAAGACAUGGUGGGCAGCUGUGCUACCAUAAGGCAAGAAAUCAAGAUUAAGAAAGUUCGGUCCAUAUGAGUUUGAAUUUGUCGUAAACUUUGGUUUUAACAAAUUCACAUGGAUAGGAACACAUACACCGUUUAAAUCUAAGUGUCAUAAGAUUUCCUCCUUCAUGAAAAUGAUUGUGAGGAAAUGCUUUCACUAAGAAAGAUUUUAAGAAGAUAGUGAUUGUAAAAUUGCAUUCUCGAAUUCGAUUAUGGUUACGGUAUCCCUUUCCAUAAUUUGAAUUGUGAGGUUUGGCAAUUAGUCUUAAUUGUUUAGACACACAUAUGAACUAUCGAAGGCAAAGGUGUAUAAGUUCAAGAAGCCUUGAUAAAAGAUUAUCAAAGCACUAAGUAUUAGAAACAUGAACUUAAGAAAUUCAAUAAGCAUUGUUUUUCUGAAAGUUAAGAUGUUUAUGAAUACAUGUCGAAGCUAGUGGGAGCAUAAGUGUUAUGUUUUAUAAUAAUCAUCAUGAUAGUGGGAGCAUAAAUGUUAUGAUUGUAUGAUUAUUAAGGCACGUAUUGCAAGUUGGCAAUAUUAAUUAUAGAAAACAAGAGUUAUACCUUGCAAAGUCGUAAGGGUUGUAAAGUUGUUUUGCUAUAAUUAAGGGAGAGAAUUUUAUGCUUCAUUUCAAAUCUAAAGGCUUAGGUUGUGGAAUGUUAAUAAAUUUAGUCAAAGGUACAUAGUGUGUUCUUAAAAUUUCGAUUAUGAUUACGACAUUCCUCUUCAUAAUUCAAUUUUUGAGAACAUAGCAAAUAAAACAUUAUGCGUCCUCUCCAUACGCUUCGGGUAUAGGAUCGAUUGCAAAUGCUUUGAUGAUUGACAAUUCUAAAAUUUUCCAAAUGUCUAGCGCAUUUAAAGGGAAAAGGGACUAGAAUUGGUUUUGACUAAAAUAAUCAAAGGACAAUCCAAAGUUCGACGAGGAUUGGUUGCUUGUGAGUAGUUGGAAGCAUGGUAUUGAAUGGACCAUAUCGACAUUAUUAUGAAUAGAAACGAUUCGAUUAAGAAUGAGUAGUCAUAUGGAAAAUAUGGAAAUGUUUCCAUAUUGGAUGCACCAUGCCGACAUUAUNUGGAAUGUUAAUAAAUUUAGUCAAAGGUACAUAGUGUGUUCUUAAAAUUUCGAUUAUGAUUACGACAUUCCUCUUCAUAAUUCAAUUUUUGAGAACAUAGCAAAUAAAACAUUAUGCGUCCUCUCCAUACGCUUCGGGUAUAGGAUCGAUUGCAAAUGCUUUGAUGAUUGACAAUUCUAAAAUUUUCCAAAUGUCUAGCGCAUUUAAAGGGAAAAGGGACUAGAAUUGGUUUUGACUAAAAUAAUCAAAGGACAAUCCAAAGUUCGACGAGGAUUGGUUGCUUGUGAGUAGUUGGAAGCAUGGUAUUGAAUGGACCAUAUCGACAUUAUUAUGAAUAGAAACGAUUCGAUUAAGAAUGAGUAGUCAUAUGGAAAAUAUGGAAAUGUUUCCAUAUUGGAUGCACCAUGCCGACAUUAUUAUGAAUAGAUAAGACUCUAUUAAGAAUAAGUUGUCAUAUGGAAAAUAUGGAAAUGUGUCCAUAUUUGGAAUUGAAUAUUGAAAAAUCUAUGUUUAGAUUAGAAACUUUUAUGCAAAAGGAUGUUCAAAGGAAUGUACUUUGAAUGAGAGACAUCAUAUCUAAGGAGUUGUCUUGUAACAAUCUCCGAUAGAGGACUUUGUAAUAUCAUUGGCAAUAGUCUUUGUGACUUUGGUGCAGUGACAUUACGAAAGGAUCAUUGCAUAGAAUGUUAGAAUCUAGCAUAUUCUAUAAGUAGCAAGAAUUUGAUAUUCUUUCACUUAUGAAAAAGGAUUUGGAGUUGUGAAAUGAGUAUGAUUGGAAAUGUGUUCAUUUGAUCUAUUUCACAAAGUAAGAACCAUAGGUAAACAUUGUGUGCAUGCUAAGAGCAUGGGACAAGUGUAAUAAUUCAAGUAAGAAGUUGAUUACCCGAAACGACAAAUAAUGAGUAAUCGAUAUGGUGAUAAAUAAAAGGUGUUUUAUUUAUACUCAAAGGUUUGAGGCCAUAUGGGAUUAGUAUUAUUCUUGUGUUUCACAUUUGCAUGUUUUGACUUCCAGAAUAAUUGAGUUUAUUAAGAAUAAUCGAAUUAUUCGAACGGGCCACAGUCGUUCAUAUGUUGGAAGUAGAUAUGAAUGAAGACUGUCGUGAAUUGGUGUGUGGAUUGUCUAAAAGAGUAUUAGACAUAAGCAAAUGUUUGCUGCAACGUUCAUGAGUGCUUAUGAAUAUGAUUUGAGCAUUGGAUUAAACCCACGCUCACUUGGAUCACUCCAUGAAUUGUAUCACGAGUGAUUGGUGAGACGAUAACAUCUUAUAUUCUUGAAACCGAGAUGUGUGAGUUGUAUCUUGCAAAUCGGUUGCACAUUGAUAAUAUGUAAACGCACUAGUAACUUGGUGUUAUAAAACAUAUUGUUGUGUGUGAUUCGGUGAGUGAGUGCAAGCAAGCAUUGUAUCAAAGUUUAUCCGUUCCUUUUAUCCAAAGUAGGAUAAAAGCGAUAUCUUUGGGCCCCUCGAUGAUUUAGUGAUGACAAACGUAAAUGCUCGGCCGGGCUAGGGCUAAUUUGAUUUGUUCAAUUAGUCAGUCGUCAUAAAUCGGAAAUCGAGAUAUAGUACAAAGAGAAUGAUUUGAAAUCAUAUCUCAUAUGAUAUCUAGAAUGGAGGAAUAUAUGAUCCCUUAUCUAAGGACACGCGUAUCUGAUAGGAUCAAAGUUGACAUCGGCUUUGGAAAGCUACGAUUGCAGAUCAGGAUCUGAAGUCAUGCGCAUAAUAGUUAUUAGACUUAUCCAAGUGGGAGACUGUUGGAUUAGUGUCUAAGUCCAUAACUAUUUUGGUAUGUACUUGACCCGAUGGUGCAUGGUCCUUUUGGGUUGCCUUCACCAAAGCAACUUGAUAGGAUGAAUUAUGGAGAGAAAGGAUUAAAUAUGAUUUAUUAAUAUAUUAUGGGAAUAAUAUAUUAAAGGAGAAAUCAUAUUUUUUAAUUAAUAUUAGUCAAUAAUUAAUUGGUAAUUAGUUUUGUGACUAAAAGAGAUUAAUUAAACUUAAGGGACUGGAAUUGUAAUUAUAAGAUAAUUGCAAUUUGGGCCAUGGAUUGCCUUUUAUUAUAAGGUGGACGAAUUCUAUGGGGGAAGCCCAUAUGAAAUCGUCCAAGGCCUUAAGAAAAGGGUUCCAUGGGUUGCUUAGGGCUUAAGUAUCCAAAUUAGGGUUUCCUUGUUAGAUAACCCUAAUAGCCUCCUAUAUAUAUAGAUCCCUUAUGACCUAAAAACGUGGCUAAGACUUCUUUAGGGUUUGUGGACGUUUUUGGGCAGCCUCCAUCCUCUCUCCUCUUCAUCCUCUUGCUUAUGCUGUUUGUGAACCAUUAGAGGAGUGACAUUUGUGACUCUAAGCUUUCUAAAGUCAAUACAAGGAUGAAUUGGAUUGUUAUUGCUACAUAACAAUCAAGGUAAUAUCUUAAACCUAAUUAUAUGUUAAUAUCGAUUUCCAUAUGUUAGAAUUAGGGUUUAUAGUCUUGGAUAACUUGCAUGUACAAUAGAGAAACCUAGAUCCAAGCAUUAGGGUUUGUAUGAGCACAUAGAGUGUUCUUAUAGCCAAAACCCAU